CCUACGGGAGGCAGCAGUGGGGAAUAUUGGGCAAUGGGCGCAAGCCUGACCCAGCAACGCCGCGUGAAGGAAGAAGGCUUUCGGGUUGUAAACUUCUUUUGUCAGGGACGAAGCAAGUGACGGUACCUGACGAAUAAGCCACGGCUAACUACGUGCCAGCAGCCGCGGUAAUACGUAGGUGGCAAGCGUUAUCCGGAUUUACUGGGUGUAAAGGGCGUGUAGGCGGGGAAGCAAGUCAGAUGUGAAAACCACGGGCUCAACCUGUGGCCUGCAUUUGAAACUGUUUUUCUUGAGUACUGGAGAGGCAGACGGAAUUCCUGGUGUAGCGGUGAAAUGCGUAGAUAUCAGGAGGAACACCGGUGGCGAAGGCGGCCUGCUGGACUGCAACUGACGUUGAGGCCCGAAAGCGUGGGGAGCAAACAGGAUUAGAUACCCUAGUAGUC
RNAcentral lists this ribosomal RNA (443 nucleotides) under uncultured bacterium. RNAcentral describes it as "partial 16S ribosomal RNA". It matches the Rfam family "Bacterial small subunit ribosomal RNA", at positions 338 to 795 of the family's 1533-position model. The record is from RNAcentral.